AUUGAACGCUGGCGGCAGGCCUAACACAUGCAAGUCGAGCGGAUGAAGGGAGCUUGCUCCUGGAUUCAGCGGCGGACGGGUGAGUAAUGCCUAGGAAUCUGCCUGGUAGUGGGGGAUAACGUCCGGAAACGGGCGCUAAUACCGCAUACGUCCUGAGGGAGAAAGUGGGAGAUCUUCGGACCUCACGCUAUCAGAUGAGCCUAGGUCGGAUUAGCUAGUUGGUGGGGUAAAGGCCUACCAGGGCGACGAUCCGUAACUGGUCUGAGAGGAUGAUCAGUCACACUGGAACUGAGACACGGUCCAGACUCCUACGGGAGGCAGCAGUGGGGAAUAUUGGACAAUGGGCGAAAGCCUGAUCCAGCCAUGCCGCGUGUGUGAAGAAGGUCUUCGGAUUGUAAAGCACUUUAAGUUGGGAGGAAGGGCAGUAAGUUAAUACCUUGCUGUUUUGACGUUACCAACAGAAUAAGCACCGGCUAACUUCGUG
This 484-nucleotide ribosomal RNA is filed under the name uncultured bacterium. Its description in RNAcentral is "partial 16S ribosomal RNA". It matches the Rfam family "Bacterial small subunit ribosomal RNA", at positions 30 to 507 of the family's 1533-position model. The record is from RNAcentral.